Molecule: non-coding RNA, 86 nt
Organism: Triplophysa dalaica
Lineage: Eukaryota; Metazoa; Chordata; Actinopteri; Cypriniformes; Nemacheilidae
Source: the annotation of a RefSeq genome assembly
AGCGUUCAGCGUGGCUGAGCGGUCAAAGGCGCUGGAUUUAGGCUCCAGUCUCUUCGGAGGCGUGGGUUCAAAUCCCACCGCUGCCA